This 351-nucleotide long non-coding RNA is filed under the name Fukomys damarensis (Damara mole-rat). Its description in RNAcentral is "lncRNA (ENSFDAG00000024200.1)". Lineage: Eukaryota; Metazoa; Chordata; Mammalia; Rodentia; Bathyergidae. The record is from RNAcentral.
GUUCUAGGAGACUUUUAAUCUCCGCGUUUACAAGGAUACAACUUAUACCAGGAUCUCUAUGGAUAAAGUAUGCUCACGAACUGCUAGAGGCAUACGGAGGAAUGACAUCUAUUUCACACUGAGGCAGACUGGUGUGGGACUGCUCCUGGGAGUUAUGAUGUUUCAUCUGUGUUUCAUUUUGUGAAUGGACAUUCCAUGCAGAAAGGGAACUGAAAAGAGUCAGAAAGAUAAACAAGUACCUCUACAAAAGAAGAUCAAACAAUGGAAUACAAGCUUUAUAAUUUUAAACAUAAUUUAUGGAGUGCAAUAGAAGUCUUCCAGGCAUAACUUGAUCAAGGAAGAAAUAGUCAC